RNAcentral lists this long non-coding RNA (34736 nucleotides) under Oryza sativa (Asian cultivated rice). Its description in RNAcentral is "long non-coding RNA (OSAT_LNC000377)". The record is from RNAcentral. Lineage: Eukaryota; Viridiplantae; Streptophyta; Magnoliopsida; Poales; Poaceae.
UGGCAGGGUUUCAAAAACCGCCGGGGGCCCGGUUACCGCCACCCGGCGGUACGACGGUUACCGGCGGUAACCGCGGUAACCGCGCAAAACCGCGACAAAUUUACAAAUCGAAAUUUGAAUUCAAAAAUUCGGGCAAACCGCGCGGUUUGGCGCGGUUACCGCGCGGUUUGACGCGGUAACCACGCGGUUUGGCGCGGUUACCGCGCGAUGUGUAAUGGGUUGCACAGUAACGGGCCGGCCCAUUUUUUUUUUCUUUUUCCAAUUUUCAAAUUUAUUCUCCGUUUUGCUCUCAAAUUUGAAUAAAUAUUACUCUUUUUUGAGAAAUUUCUUCACCAUAAAACACUAUAAAUCAAGCACUACCUUCACUAUUUUUUUUUGAUUUUUUUCUUUUUUUUUUAAAUUUUUGAAUUUGGACGAAUUUUAUUAAACCGUACCGCGCGGUACGGGUAACCGUACCCCCGCGGUACGGGCGGUAACCGCGGUAACCGCGCGGUUACCGGCGGUUUUUCACACCCUGCGCGCUGGUGGAUGACCACCCGGCGGGGGUGACCACCAUGACGGGCCAACCACACAGGGAGAACAUCGAGGUGCUCCACCUCCGGACGCGGCGGUGGAACACCGUGGUGGCGGUGUACGUCCGCCACCUGGACGCCGCCACCACGUUGCUCUACUCCCACGGCAACGCUGCUGACCUCGGGCACCUCUACCAGCUCUUCCUCCAUCUCUCCUUCAACCUCCGUGUCAACGUCCUCAGGUCAGUCAACUCACUCAUGCUCGCUCACUUCCUUGCUUGCUUCCUUCCCUCUCCUGCUUCAUUUGCUUCCUUCUCCUCCUGCGCCGCGCGGCGCGUGCGUUGGGGGGGGGGUGGGCGUGAUCUGUGUGGUGGGGUUUGGGCGCCCCAGUACGUGGCUUCUGGUGCUCCUCCAUGACUGCGGCUUUCUCGAUUCGUUAUGUCCGGAUGGGAAAUUUCAUGUUCUACUCUGAAAUUUUCCCUCUUUUUAGAUCAAGUGGGUUUACCCGCAAACCCGUUUAUAGGCAAAAAUAGUGCGUAACCCGCCAGUUUGACUAGCGGGUUAACUAUGAAUUUGACUUAUAAAUAGGUUUAUAGAUCGAUCCACUUGUAUAUUUAGAUGCAGCAAGUUGGGCCGGGACGCGAAAACCCAUAAAUUAUUAUUUAUUUAAACUCGUGGGUCGGCCCGCUUGCACCCCUAUUUUGAGCGCUAUUCAUGUCGUGGUACUCGAUAAUUUUGCUCUUUUAGCCUAGGAAAUCGAUGACUACUCCCUGUUUUUUUUUUUGAGAAAUUUUGAUUAUGUCUUUCGGAAUAUUUAUUUCCGUCCCCUUAGGUUUGCCGCAAUAUUAAGCAAAAUCACGCAAAUUCGGCAUAUACUACAUGGUGUGAUUUGUUAAUUGCGAUGGUUCGCCUGGUCGUGGUCCGACGUCGGCACGCCGGCGUCGCUGGAGGACAAGCACGUGCUGCACGCCAUCACGAUGGAGGACGGCCGGUGUUCCCCCUCUCUUGCCGCUCCUCUCCCCCGCUGCCGCACCGCGCGCCGCUACUCUCCGCCGUCGAGCUCACAAUCGCGCCAGCCGUCUCUCUCCAUUUUAUCUCACUUACAUGUAUGCCUUAGAUAUUUAUUUUUUUAUUUUUUACUGACUAGGAUGUCACGUGAGCAAAACUGGAUGUAAAUACUGCCAUAAUACCUUCUUUGCACGGUUUAAAUGAGUUUAGGGGUGAACGUUUCUGAUUUUGUGGCUGAGGAAUCUCAGAAAAUCUCUCUGUUAAGUUGAGAAACGUCCGGUGAACUUAUUCCUUGUAGCUUCUACUCGGAACUGGCCUAGCCCAGCCAACCAAAACCUCCAACCGAUCAAGCCUGCGGUCGCCAUUGUUAGGGCUGAAUAUCAAGCCUGCUGGUGAGCUCGGCCCGGCUUAUUAUGGCUUUAAUUAAGAUAAGGAAAAAGUACGCCGAAGGUCCCUCAACUUGUCAUUCGUCCCUCAACCACACAACCAGAUAUAUCACAUCCCUCAACUUAUAAAACCGUUCACUUUAGUUCCCUAGGUGGUUUUCACCCUGGUUUUGUCUGACGUGGCAGCCGAGUCAGCGUGAGACCCACGUGGGCCCCAUGUGACAGGGUGUCCACGUCACCCCUCUCUCUCUCUCUCUUUCCCCUCUCUCCUUCCUCUCUCAUUUUUCGCCUUGAUGUGGAUGGCGGCAGCGUCUUCCACGCGACGGGGAAGAGGGCUGGCGUGGCUGGCGGCUGGCAGGGGAGGAGCGCUGCGGAGAGGAGGGCCGAUGUGACGGGCGCCGCCGCCGAUGGCUACUGUCGCGCGGAUGGCCACGGCGGUCGUCCCCCUCAACCGUCGGCCUCGACGCGGCCCAGCAAUCCGCUCCCGUCCACACUCCUCUCCGUGCGCACCUCCGCGCCGGGGACGCGUCGUUCGUGGAUGUCGUCGUCACGCAGGCGCGGCCGCGCGGGUGUUCGACUUCCGGUCGCCGCUCGUCGACCUCCUUGCCGUCUCCGCCGCGCGCUUCUGAUACUCUGCUGAGAUGCGGCGUACCCGUGGGUGGUGGCGAUGAGCGCGGCGGGGUCGGUCCGUGGUCGCGCACGCGCCGCCCAUCCGCCUCACGCAGCGGGGUAGCUGAUGGCGAACCCGCCGCCGCCGAACGCCAUGCUGUACGAGUGCAUCACGUCCUGCUCCACGCUCUCUGACGGCGCCCCGAUGUAGUACGUCUUCGCGUGGUCGAACUUGUUCAACACAGCCACCAUGUUGUCCGGGAAGAACACCGUGUCGUCGUCACCCAUCACGAACCACCCAUCCCAGUGCAUCGUAUCACGUCGCACAACCAUCGGAAGAGCACCCCGGAACGAAAUCAUGGCGGCGGCGACGACGACAAAUAAGCUCCAGACGAUGCGGUGGAGCUACCUCGACGAGGACGACGACUACGGCGACGGCGGUGACCUCAGCACCCUGCUCCCACCGCGCGUGGUCAUCCGGCCGGACGAGAACAGGAUCCGUCGAGUACCGCUUCAACGAGGAUGGGAAAGCGGUGAAGGUGACCACCACCACCCGCGUCCGUGAGGUCGCGCGCACGCGCGUCACCAAGUGCGCCGUCGAGCGCCGCCGCUAGGCCAAGUUCAGCGCCACCGCGCACAACGACGACGCCAGCGAGCCAGGGCCCCACCGGUUGCUCGUCGAGCCAGACAUGGCCGCGCAUCUCCCCAUGGCACCACCACAGCUCCACGUACCCGCGCCGCUUGUCCCCGGCGCGGAGGUGCAUGGAGAGGAGUGUGGACGGGAGCAGAUUGCUGGGCCGCGUCGAGGCCGACGGUUGAGGGGGACGACCGCCGCGGCCAUCCGCGCGACAGCAGGCAUCGGUGGCGCCGCCCGUCACAUCGGCCCUCCUCUCCGCAGCGCUCCUCCCCUGCCAGCCGCCGGCCACGCCGGCCUUCCUCCCUGUCGCGUCGAAGACGCAGCGCCAUCCACAUCCAGGCGAAAAAUGAGAGAGGAAGGAGAGUAGAGGGGAAAGAGAGAGAGAGGGGUGACAUGGACACCCUGUCACGUGGGUCUUACGCUGACUCAGCUGCCACAUUAGAUAAAACCGGGAAGAAAACCACCUAGGGAACUAGGUUUUGUAAGUUGAAGGAUGUGAUAUAUCUGGUUUUGCGGUUGGGAACGAUUUUGUAACUCGAUGACAAGUCGAGGGACCUUUGGCGUACUUUUUCCUACAACUCGUCCAAGCCGGCCAUUGAUCGGAGCCAUGCAGCCCAUGUCGCCGUGGCCCACUUUCAUCGGUCAUCGACUGCCGAUCGAAAAGCCCCCCCAGAAGUAGAGAAACACCGGCCCAGACGGUAUGGAGAAGCGCGGCUACGUGUCGUCGCCUCCGUAGUGCGGCGGCGGCGCACGCGUUCCCUCCGGUCGCCUCGCUGCGCUGAGCUGAGCUGACGCCCGCGUGGAGCUCGUACUAGUCCUCGUGCUUGGCCGCCACGGAGACGGAGAGAGGCCUCCGCCCUUCCCACGUCCCGCUCGUCGAUCCGAUCCAAUCAAACGUGCACGUCAAACAUGCACACGUCCCACGGCCGGAGAAGAGCAGCAUGGCUUGGCGUGCGUGACGCUACUCCUUUUCCCGCCGCGUUUGCUUAUGGCACCAACCAACACACGCGUGGGUGGGACGGUAGAUUAGUAUUGUCCCCCCCACCACAGGCGAUUUACUACACUUUCCUAUACCCAAGGUUGCUAGGACCAGGAUAGUAUCGUCUCGCUCAAAGUAAUAUCGUAUUGUAAGAUUGUAUUGUAGUUUCAGGAUACUAUGAGAUUUUCUUUUUUUAAGUUUAAUUAAUAUUUAUAUUAAUUAUAUAUAUAGCCAUUCUAUAUAAAAAAAUAUAGUAAUGAUAUAUGUAAUGCAAAUAGAGACAUUUAUCAAGAGAAACCAUGUUGGUUUUGAUAUAUUUAACUGAUUUUUAUAAAAAUUUGAGCAUAUUUAUUUAUAUUAUUUUCAAACCAUGUUAUUUUAAAUAAUAUUUUGUAGUAUCGUAGGGAUCGUAGAAUCGGGAUAGCACCUAAGAUUUCGUAGGAUCAUGUAGUAAUGAGUAGUAGGAUCGAGAUACUAUGAAAAUUAGGAUACUAGAUGGGAUUGGUAUCGUUUCGGCUUGGUAGGAUCGUAGUAUCGUAAGAUACUAGGAUAUGUAUCGGGAUACUGACAACCUUGUUUGUACCCUUUUGAUCGUAUAGAGAAUUUUCACUACGCCGGACCAGGUCAUCUCUGACGGGCCCAAACCCUCACCUUUGACGGGUUUGGUCUUGGUCAGUGAUUAGUGGUCACUGAUGACAAAAUCACCUGUGACGGAUGAAACACCCGUCACAGAUAACCCAUCUCUGACCGGUAUAUAAGUCAUCUCUGACGGGUUAAAACUUGUCACCCGUCACAGAUGAGUCAUCAGUGACGUGUCGUAACUACCUGACCGUCACUGAUGACUCAUCUCUGACGGGUUGUAACUUACGACCCGUCACUGAUGACAAAGCAAGAAAUACAAUUUUUGAAUUUUAAACGCAACAAAAAACCUCAAAAAAAUAUUUUGAAUUUUACUAGCCAUUCUAUACAUGGUUACACAUCACUACCUACAAAUUCACAAUUUUUCACGCAAUAUAACUUGUAUGCUACAAGUGAGAUUCGAACUCAAGACCUCAACCUCCAUAUAGAGCUCCCUUACCAACUCACCUACUCAACACAUAUUGACUACUAACCUAAUGUUAUUAUUUUGUCUAUGCUUAUCUGAAUCAUUUAACAUAUAUUUAACACCCUAAAUGACUUCAAAUGAAAAUAUUAUCAACUAAAUAGUUAUAGAUCUCAUCGUGUUUUAUAACUUUUACAUAGAAAAUAUCUUCAUCCGAUGUUGUUUGAAGAAUUCAAAAUUUCAUUUUUCAAAAUAUAUCUCACUUUAUAACAUGUAAAUUUUGUGAAAUGAAAAUAUUUUCAAUUAUAAUGUUGUAGAUCUUAUUGAGUUCUAUGACUUUGAUACGGGGCAUGUAUCCAUCCAUGUCAUUUGAAAAAAAACUCAAAAUUUUGUUUUUAAAAGUAGAUCUGAUCACUUGUAAUGCAUGUUCGGGGAUGUAAACGAUCUCUAAUAGAAAUGUUGUUAGUUAUAAAGUUGUGGAUAUCAUUGAGAGCUACAACUUUUAUAUAGGACAUGUUUCAAUCCGAGGUUUUUUGCAAAAUUUAAAAAUUUGAAUUUUCACCUGUGAUAUCCGAAAGGAAAACCCGUCAGAGGUAUACCAGUGACGAGUUUUCCUUUCGGCCCGUCACAGGUGAGGGGAUACCUGUGACGGUCCGCGGCCGGAUGGCUCACCGGUGACGUUAUCCCGUCUGACCCGUCAGAGGUAAUGGUCACUAGUGACCAAAUCGUUUGCCCGUCACAGGUAUCCCGUCAGAGGUGUGAGGAUCUGGCGUAGUGUUUCACGAUGUCACAUGUGCGUUGACUCAGAUUAUUCUACAAACACGAUUGUUAUUAUUUUCUUUAUGUUGCUCUAGAAAUUUAUAUAAAUUUAUACUGAUUAUUAUAGCAUUUUCCAACCGAAUUGCGGUUACAUUAUCCCACUUUCAUGAUUAACUAGCGUAUACAGUCAUACGUUCGCACGACUUUAACCUCUUUAUGUACUAAACGUGUUUACAUUUACACGUUGUUUGUACUGAUAAAUUAUACUUAGUCUAUAGCUAUACUUAUCGGCGACAGUGGAUCCGUGGUUUAUAAAUAUGAGAAGUGGGUUUAUUUGUAUGUUUUUUAAAGAAUUUAUAUGCAGAAUAGAGUUUUAGAAUUGUUGUAGCGGACAGGGUUGGGUUUUGUAUUUGUCUUCUAUGCUGCCAUUUCUCCCUCCCUAAUCAUCUUUUUAGCUUUUGCUUUAGCAGUUUAGCCGCCUCAUUGCCACCGAUCAUCGUUUGCAUUUUUGUAUGACCCUACCAUUCUCAUAUUAUUUUUAUGUACUUAAUAGGUGUUCGGAAAACUUAUUUGACCAAAAAUCUAUACAUACAAUACAAAUAUAUCUAUCUUGUAUGUAAUAAAUAAAUGUUAUCAUGAAAAUAAAUACUAAUUUUAUUACUCCCUUCGUUGCUAAAUAUUAUAGGUCUACGUUUGAGCAUAGCAUCAUAAUAGUAAGUUAAGAUGUUUUUUUUUUCUUUUAUUGUUUUGAAAUAUUGUUGUCCGAUUUGAAGUAGUAAAAUGGAUUGCCAUGUUUACUCACCAAUAAUGUUAGAAAAACACCCAUUAAUUGCACUAUCAAAUGUUUCGUCGAGCAUGCAUGCGUCUUAUUGAUAUUUUAUUGUCAUUGGAGAUUUUACCUUUAAGCAUCAUGAUGGUUACUAAUAGUAUAGUAAACAACUAUUGUAUGAAUUGGCUAUUAGAUUGGCUAUAGAUAAAUUGGAGUUAAUAGUGGGCUAUGUUUUAGAUCUUAUGUUUUUACCAUAUAUUAAUUAAGAGCAACUAUUAAACUUGCUCUUAGAGCUAUGUUUUCGAUCUUUGGGCUUGAAUUAUUAUAUUUAUUUAUGAUCGGCCAAGCCAGCCCAUCCAGCCAUAAUCGUUGCCUGAUGUGCACUGUCUCUCUCCCCCUGCAAGAAAGAAGGCUAGAAAGCUCUAGAUAGCGUUUCAUUGGUUUUUUUACUAAUCCAAUCCAACGGCCGCUUUCACCCUCCUUUUCUCUAUCUGAUGGUCUAGAAUUUUUAUUUUAUGUGGAUCAAUAAGAUGAUGUUUUGAGAUUCUCUUUUCACUUGGAAAGAUUCCCAGAUUGUUUUAUAUUUUGUCAUACCGCAAUAAUAUUAUCGUUUUUGGCAGGUACCACCACAGUAUCUAAAAGCUAUUGGACCCUCCAAAAUGCAUCUUUUGUUGACGAAAACAGUUUUUCUCUUCACGCUGUUCACUUCUCGUUGAUCUGCCCUUCCCAGUCCCCAGAGCCGGUGGUCAGCUCCCCGGCGAGACGAUGCGCGCGGCACAAGCAGCCGGCCGAUCCGGAUCCAUGGCGAAGCGGUGGACAGUGGACACAGCCCAAGACCGCGGAGGCCGGAGCCCACUACCGGUCACACGUCCCUAGCUGGGCAAGCGUGCAUAUGGCCUGAUCGAUAUAUGAUAGAUCGUACGAUCGAUCUACUAUUCUGCCUCUCGGUGCCCUGUUCGCGACUGAUUAAAAAAAAUGAGAGUUAAGGAAAAAAUUAUCAACGUGUAAAAAUAUUAUAAAUUUUAAAAUAUUAUAAAAAAAGUAAUUAUCAACGUAUAAAAAUAAUCAAGUUUUAAAUAUUAUCAAUUUUAAAAAUAGAUUUAAUUAAUAUUUUAAAGUAAUUUCUACGUAGAAAGUUCUAGUGCGGUUUGAAAAACAUGUUAACAGAAGUCGAAUUAUAGUAAGAAAAGAACGGGGGCACUACAGCAUCCAACACAUCUGCUUGGUCAAGAGUACGAGACUAGUAUGGACCGUCCGUGCGUGCCGUGUGUUGUCCAAAAUACUACUUUCUUCGUCUUAAAGAAAACAUAACUUCCAUUUAUGUAUCUGAGUAUAGGCAGUAGUUUUAUUAUUUUUUUUUUUACAAAAGAAGUAGUAACAAAGAGAGCAUCCAUCACCGUCCAUCUCCAUCCCAUCGUCGUCAGUCGUCAGCCGCAUGCGUCUAAAACCUUCCCAGGUAGCCCAACAAAACGUGGGUUUUGCUACUGCUACGUGUCACCGAUUUUUGGGCUGUACACGUGGGGAGAGUACGUACAACCGCGGUCUCGUCGUUCUCGUUGGUGACCCGUCUAAAAGCGAAAGCCGCAAUUUUUCUUAGAUAGUAGUAAUAAAAAUGGUAUGGAGAGUCACACAGAAAAACUUGUCAUCGUUACGUGCUUCUAGGUACGUUGACGUAUCCGGUUUUGUAAUUGCGUCCUCACGAUUAGUCGGUAUUAAGCUUGAUUAUAAAAAAAUGGCUACCUACUUACACUGGAUGAUAUUUUAAUUUGUCUGAAUUAUGCAUCGAAUAUUUGGCUGGUAUAUGUAUCUACCAAACGUUCAUAUAGUUACCUAUUUUCAUAUAAAGCUAGAUAUCUUUACUCUUUUUUUUUAUUAUUUUGGAUCACCCCUUCUCCAUCUCUCUUCUCCUCCUCGACCAUGGUGAUCAUGGCUUGAUCACUAGUGCCAGCAGCGGCAACAAAUGUCACGGGACAGAUCGUGGAGUCGCCUGUAGGCACCAGCACGACCCUUUUGGGCUAGCCGUGAUGGCCUGUGCAGCAGCGUCGAGCGUGUUGUUAUCAUGCAGCUCAAUGACCUCGGUCGCCACCAACUUAAUUGUGGAAGAACAUGGCGGCUUGGGUGCAGUGGGAAACCGGAAGAGAAGAGAGAAAUUGAAAAAUUGAUAUGGGGUGGUCCUCAGUAAAAAAAGUAAAAAGUUCGAAUUACCCCUAAACUAUUAUAGACUGUUGUAGCAACAAGAAUUACUCGAUCAAUUAAAAACCAGACAUUCUUCACCCUUAACUUUUUAUAAGGUUGAAAUAUUUCGCUACUGGUCUCCUGAGCGAUUUUGGCCCACGUACACGUGGCCGUUCAUGUAGCAUAAAAAUAUAAGGUAGGGCCCAUAUGUAGUGACGAGAGAAGAGGUAGAACUGACAAUUGAGUCUUAGCAUUUUUUAUUUUAUAUGCUAACUAGAAUGUCACAUGUGUAUCAUGUAGAACUAAAACCGUUCCAGAGUGGGUCAGGGGAUAAUUCGUUCGAUAUGAAAAGUUGAAGAUGAAAAAUUUCUGGUUUUUAAAUUAAGAGGGAUAAUUUAUACUGCCAUAAUAGUUUAGGGGAAAUUCGGACUUUUUUAUUUUAGGGGAGGUUUGGGGCGUUUAACUAAAAGUUAUUAAUAUUGUUUCUUGGAGCUAGAUAUUUAUUAACUUUACGAGGAAGGGAAUUCGCAACAGCACCAUGAAUAAGGUGGUUGUGGCGUGAAUGGAGAUUGGCAGAUAAGACAUGGGCGGGCAUGAAAAUGACAUGGGACGACACUGAUCUGACAAACCUCUCUUCACGGCAACUACGAACAUUAAGGUUGGCGAUGUGGAUUAAGGGUGUGUUCGGCAGUGAAAGCUGUUUCGUGUAAAAUUUAUCAAAAAUUUAAAUUAUUUUUUAAAUUUAUUUGAAUUUAAGGAGGUUACAGCGGUUUUUCUAUUACCCUACCCCUGCGGUAAGGCCGGUAUACGGACGGUAAUGUAAACCAUGUUUGGCACCCCUAGUUCCCAACCCCUUUCGUUCAUUUUCCGCGCGCACGCUUUUCAAACUGCUAAAUGGUAUGUUUUUUAAAAAGUCUCUAUACAAAAGUUGCUUAAAAAAUCAAAUUAAUCUAUUUUUUUAAAAAAUAGCUAAUACUUAAUUAAUCAUGCGCUAAUGGAUCGCUCUAUUUUCCGUACACACUAUUUAUGUUGGGAGCAAGGGGUGCCAAACACACUCUAAGACAAGAAUUUGGGACUUGGCGUGGCUGCAUGGAUAUUUCUAUAUUUGACCAUUAAUCUCUAUAUAUUCGUACAGUUUGUUUUAGAUUUAUAAUUUAUAUUUAUCAUAAGAAAUAUAUUUCUAUUAUAUAAGAGUAAAUUUUACAAAACUAUAGGUAUUUUGCACAAUUUAUCACGAAACUACAAGUUUAAGAGUUUAUUUCACAAAACUACAGAUUUAGUGUCUCCGUUUAUCACAAAACUAGAUGUACUUUGUACAAUCUAUCAUAAUAUUAUAGAUUUAAGAACUUGUUUCACAGAACUAUAGAUUCAGUGUAUUUAUUUAUCACAGAACUACACAUAUAGUGUCUUCAUUGCUAAAACCUGUAGUAGUUUUGUGAUGAUGGAGAUAUUAAAUCUGUAGUUUUGUGAAACAAGUUCUUAAAUAUGUAGUUUUGUGAUAUAUUAUGCCAAGUACAUGUAGUUUUGUAAUAAACGAAGACACUAAAUCUGUGGUUUUGUGAAACAAAUUCUUAAAUAUGUAGUUUUGUGAUAAAUCGUGUAAAGUAUAUGUAGUUUAUGAAAUUUACUCUAAUUUAUUUGUAAUUAAAUUGUACUGAUUUCGAAAAAUUAAUGGUUAGGCCAAACUAAAAUGAUAAGUAAUUUAAAUGGGGGCAUUACUAGAUCCGAUGGUAUGUUGUUUGAAGUUGUAUUAAAUAUUUGGCUGGCAUUACUAGGUUUAUAGAGUUUAAUGUAAUUGCUGCAAUUGUUUAUAUUAAAGGAUGGCGUGCUACUAGAUACUCCGUAGUAGGUUUUUUUUUUUUGACCGGGUACUCCGUAGUAGGUAUUCUGCACUUUACUAUCUUUGUGGAGAUUUAAUUUGUGGGGUUUAGGUUUCUUGGAGACAAAUAUUAAUUAACUUUAUGAAGAAGUUAACUAAUGUUCAUCAAGUUAAUGCUUAGCUCGAAAGGGAACUGUCACGUGUAGCAUAAGCUCACUGUAGCUACAACUACAAGAUAGUCGUACUAGCUUCCAGUAAUAUAGUACACUAGUAGUACAUGUUGCUGGUACAACUCCUGAGCCAAAACAAGCCAAGUAAUUAGGCUGUGUUUAGUUGACGUCAAAAUUGGAAGUUUGUGUGUAGGAAAGUUUUGAUGUGAUGGAAAAGUUGGAAGUUUGAAAAAAAAAACUUUAGAUCUAAAGACAGCCUUAAUCCCCUUGCCGUAUUGCAGCAGCCAAGUAUUUUUUUUACGGAGGGAGUAUAUCUACAAUGUAUAAACUUUCAGGGCCUCUAAAUCGAAGGAUUGAGAAAAGGGAGGAAUAUGAAAAACAUAAUUUUUUUUGAUAGGAAUUCUAUAAAAAUUAGAGGAUUGUAAAACGUAGAAAAAAUAUAUGAAUGAUCAUUUAAUUGAACCAUCGGAAAAUCGUAGGAAUUAGAUAAGAGAGAUAGGCUUAUAAUAAACUUUCCAUGAGUUUGGACCUCAUGUUAAAAUUCUCCAAAACUCGUAUGGAUUGAGACAUUUCUUAGAAAUUUUACAGUAUUUAAUAGUUUUCAAUCCUUUGUUUCAAAGGGUCAUGUAGGAAAAAGUUUUAUAGGAUUAGAAUCCUAUAAAAUUUCUAUAAUUUCCCUUCAAAACAAAUGGACCCUUACUAUCAUACGUACUUCACUUGUGUAGCUAGAGGAAGGGCAUGUUUGACUCUCCAGCUCCUAUAGCUCCACUUCUAUUGGAGCUGGAGCUCAGUCAAACAUUUUCAGCUCCACCUAAAAUAAGAGUAUAGCCGGAUAAAGCGCUCUCACAAAAUAAACUAAAGAGGUGGAGCUAUGUUAGGCUAUUUCACAACAUCACCCCAAAUCCAAAUUCUGGAGUUAAAUUUUAAAGUUGGAGCUCUACCAAACGGGUCCGAAAGCAAUGUUGGAGUAGAAGUCAAUGUUGAUUCGUAAUAGCGGAAGCUCACAUCACUCUCGCCAUUGCCGUAUGCAGAUUCCUGGGUUCUGGGGCAGCCAGACUAAGGUUUUGUGUUUGCUCCAGAAUUAAGGCCCUGUUUAGUUGGCAAAAAAAAAUUUAGCCUUGGCGUGUCACAUCGGAUAUAUGGACAUACAUUUGAAGUAUUAAACAUAGUCUAAUAACAAAACAAAUUACAGAUUUCACACGUAAACUGCGAGACGAAUUUAUUAAGCUUAAUUAAUCCAUCAUUAGGAAAUAUUUACUAUAGCGCCACAUUGUCAAAUCAUGACGCAAUUAGGCUUAAAAGAUUUGUCUCACAAUUUACACGCAAUAUGUAUAAUUGGUUUUUUUUCUACAUUUAAUACUCCGUGCAUGUGUCAAACAUUUGAUGUGACAGUAUAAAAGUUUUCGCAUGAAAACUAAACAGGGCCUUAGGCUUUAAGAGUAUGUGAUGAUUAACCAAGCUCCUUGGAACAUAUUCCUCCCAGCCAUCCCCAUGACAAAGAAUAUUCUGUCCACCAAUAAUUCUAUAAAAGUCUCGUAUGCAUGGUAGCUAAAAAGGAAACCAAACAAUUAACUGCCCCAUCAGUUCUAAAAUAUAACAACUUCUUCAAUUAAUUUUUUAUCCAAAAUAUAGCAACCUAGUAAAUGUAAUAGUUGAUUUUUAACAUCUUUUCUUAAUACUUGUGCCGAAUGCUAAAAAUUGAUAGAUUUUAAGAUGGGAGGAGUAUCUAGUUUGUGCAGCAAACACCCAUCAACAAUCAAACAUAAUUUUACAUCCUUAAGUAUCAAAAACUGGUAAGAAGAAAAAAAAACCCUAGUGCAAUACAACCUCACUUAUACUAAGUGGUUUUCAUGAUUUGACAUCCAAAUAUACGUGUUUUACUUGCAUUUAACUACUCAUCAAUUGUAAAAAGAACACCUUUUGAAUUUCAGAAUCAUAAAAAGCACGAUAUGAAACAAGUUUGUAUUCUAUAUUAUAUUAUCUACUUGUAUUAGAAUGUAUAUAAACGCAUUAGUGAUUUAUAUGCUUCAUUUUAUAGCUAUAUAAAUAAUGUGAAAACUUAGUUAGAACCACAUGCUACAUAGGAUCCUGCCCUCAAAUAUCCUCGAGUAUUCACAUCAUUCCAUAUGAUUGUCAAGGGACGUAAAAUAUCUAGUUUUAUAGUUGAUAAAUUUUUUUAAUAAAUAGAGAGGUGUAAUAGGGAUUUAUCCCACACGAAGAAAUACAAAAGUGGUCCUGCAAAGCGCUCUUUUAAAUGAAGGGUGUUUUUUACUUCACGCCAAAAUUGAAAGUUUGAUUGAAAUUAGAACAAUGUGACGAAAAAGUUGGAAUUUUGGCCGUGUUUAGUUCCCCCAAAUUCCCAACUUUCCAUUCCAUCACAUCAUAUCGAAAACUUUCCUACACACAUAAACUACCAAUUUUUUCUCCAAACUACCAACUUUCUCCUAACUUCCCAACUUUUCCACCAUCUAAACACAACCUUUAUAUGUGUAGGAAAGUUUUGAUGUGAUGAAAAUGUUAAAAGUUUUAAAAAAAAAGUUAGGAACUAAAGCAGGACGAAAGCAAACGGAACCGAAUACUUCUAUCCGCACAAUGCAGCUUUUGAUCCUUUCAGAAAAAAAAUGCGUGUUCCUUUUGACAUGUUUGGUACCGGCCAGUGACAGCUUCUUCUAGACGGCGUUUCAGCACAGGAAGCUUUUGAGAAAAUUAAAAAAAAAUUAGAGAAGGCUGAACAAUUGGAGAAGGGCAAGAGGCCAGUGGCAUAUUUAUUUGUUUGGAGGGAAAAAAAAGGAAAGGAAAAGUACAUGAACAAAUGAAAUGUCUUCAGAAACAAAAACAAUGAACAACUGAAAUGAUCAACUGGGCUGUUUGCCUGUUGGUAGGUUAUGGCGUUUGGUGUGAGACGCUGAUGGCUAACAACGUCAAACCCCAAAUGGACCGAUGAAACAGUAGUGAACAAGGUUCCCCACUCGCGUCUUCUGUUGAAAACGAUGUUCUUCUCUGUUGUAGCUGCACUUUUUUUUUUACCCUAUGUGAGUGACUGGAAAUAUUGCAUGAGAAGAUUCCAAAUAUUGGUUUUGUGUGGAAUUACAGGGGUGUAUCUGCAGGCUGCGAUAUUUUACUGGAAAAAAAUAUCUAAAGCCAUUUUUUUUGAUAUUUCGAACCAUUUAAUUGACUGAAACAAAAUGUACAUUUAGUCAUAUGCUCUCUACUAAACGUGCAUUAGGAUGCUAGGGAUGUUCUUUUUUUAAACGGUGGGAGUAAAAUGUAUAUAUAGGUUGACUUUAACUGAUUGACCUUAAACAUAGAGUUGCCAUAGGCUGUGUUCGGCAUUCCCUCUUCCCAACCCCUCUCCCUCGUUUUCCACGCACACGCUUUUAAAACGGCUAAACGGUGCAUUUUUUAAAAAAAGUUUCUAUACGAGAGUUGCUUAAAAAAUCAAAUUAAUUAAUUUUUUAAAAAAUAGCUAAUACUUAAUUAAUCACGCGCUAAUGGAACGCUCCGUUUUUCGUACAGACGGUUCUAGCUGGGAACCAGGAAUAGCGAACACAUCCAUAGUCUCUAAAUCUCCACGUAGCCCUUUCUGAAUAAAAUAAAGACCACAAAACGAUCAUCAAAUUUUACGCUUGUUAUCUACUUGUAUUAGAAUGGAUAUAGAUGCAUUAGUGAUUUAUAUGCUUCAUUUUAUAGCUAUAUAAAUAAUGUGAAAACUUAGUUAGAACCACAUACUACAUAGGAUCCUGCCCCCAAAUAUCCUCGAGUACAUUGGAAACCUACCACCACCACUGGCAAUUAACAAUUCCUCUAUUCACCACUAACCAAUUGCUAACCGAGUGCCAAAAUCCACCCCAAGACCUUCUUCAGUGCAACAGAUAAUCAUAGAAGAGAGAGAAGAAAGAUAAGGAUUAGCAGUAACACUAGAAUAAAUUUAAGCAUCAGGGCCUAAAAAAUGCACCAUGAAAAGAGAGAAAAGGUGGGAAAGAAAGCAAGCACAAAAAGAAAAUAAAUAUAGAUUGAGUAACAAACAAGCCAAAGCUAAAGUCUUUCUUCUCUCUCCUAUGCCUACCCCCUUGCUAAUCCCCUCUCUCUCCUUAUUUGUGUGCCUUCCAAGUGCAACCCUAACAAGUCUCCUACUUAAAAAAAGAAAAAAAUAUAUCGUUUUGCUAAUUUACUUUUGUCAUUCUUAUUUUUGGGAUUGCUAAAUUCUCCUCCUCUAGGAGUACACUAGUACAGUACUUGGAUAUCCCAAAAACUUUUUUUUAUAUUUAUUUGUAGUUGGAUAUCCCAAAAACUAUUUUUUUAAUAUAUAUUUAUUUAAGGCAGGGGAGGGGAGGAGAAAAGGAAAAGAGGGAGAAGUAAUUAAGCAACAGUGAGGCCGGAGCUAUCUAUCUAUCCAUCUAUCUAUCAUCUACUAUCCUUCCUCUCUUUCCUCCUCCUCCUCGCGCAGCCGCGCUCAGAUCCAAAGCCGCGCGCGGGGGAGGGAGGGAGGAAUCGCGGUGCCAAGAAACGAAGCCCUAGCCCCCCCUAGAUGCGCGCCGCCGCUUGCUGCUGCUGCUGCUGCUAGGGUUCUUGUACGGAGAUGCGGGGCGUCGAGUCGGAUGGCGGCGGCGGCGCGCCUUUCUCCUCCUCCUCCUCCGCGGCCGCUCCAGGUGAGGCUUUUUUUUUUCUUGAGGCUUCUUGAUCUGGUAGCUGCUGCUGCUGCGAGUAGUUUGGGGUGCUGUGUUGGCGUUGAAUUUGGUUUGCGGGAAAAGUCGGCGCCUUGAUCUGUUUUGCUGUCUCUUCCCGAUGCGAAUCGUUGGGUUAUCGACGGAGAAUUGCUCGAAUUCCAACUAGGAAAGGAUGUCUGUUGGUUUUCUUUUUUUGUUGGCUUGAUUGGUGUUUCGUGAUGUUCUUGCUGUUGUUCUUUGUUCUCGGUUGUAAUUUUGGGGGUAAAAGAUGUGGGUUUUUACUGCGUACGAUUAGUAUGAUCUGCGCCAUCUGACGCUUUUUUCUCGAUGCAGAUAAUUUCGAUGCCGCGCAGUACUCCUUCUUCGGGAAGGAGCCACUGGAGGGGCUCGAGCUCAGUUGCUUGGAGGAUGGCGGCGGCGGCGGUGGUGAUGCCAAUGGCGGUGGAUUCAGUGGAGGAGCAGAAGAAGGGCUGUACCGGCUCUCCUCUGUUGGAGAAGAGGUGCGAGGAUUCAGGAGCCUUCAUGCCCAUAGAUUGCCGUCUUUGUUGUGAACUAUCGUCGUGCUAUUCGUUUGUGUUCUUGGGUUCACAUGCAUGCUUUAGCUCUUUUUCUCGAUAACACAGUCCUUUCGGCAUGGCGGCAAGCGAUAGUGGAGGCUUAGUGCUAGGAGGAAUCAAGAAUAAAUGUCCAUGUGGGCCUCUAGGGUCUUACUAGUGGAGCUGAGGUUCACAUCAGUAGUGUCCGGGAAGUGGCUAUGUUGGAAUGUUUUUGUGCUUCAAUUAUAGGCAGAUCGAUGUGUGUUGAAUGACGGUGUUUAUCAGUUGUUUGAUAGCUAAAAGGUUCCAUUGCAACGGUAGAAUUUCAUGAGACACGGAUGGAAGACGAAUCUUUGCUGCGACCAUCCUGUUGCUACAUGUAGAGUUGAGAAUCACUAGAACAGUGCAUGCUUCUUUUGAUAAUUGAUAGUGACUAUGAAUGUUUCAUCAGGAUAUGACAGUGAAAUCGAUAAUGUUCAAGGUAGCCUUUUGGCUGCUUCGUCAAAAGCCUAUUCUUUGCUUGUUUAAGUCCAAUUAUAAUUCCUUUUGAUAGUUCAUCAAGCUAUAGCUGUAUAGCUUCUGGCUAUGGAAUCUUUGGUUUGGUUAGUUUUCUAGCACACUUUUCCUUGUGUUGCUUGGCCCAAUGCUCAUUUGCUCUGGAACUCAAAGAGAACUAUUACUGCAUUUUGGGAUCAAUAGCAUAAUUGGGCAAAAACCAUAUAAUCUAGUUCGUUACAAAAUGCUGCACUGCUUCAACUGUUGGCUGUAUUGCCAUUUCUUAAAUGCUUGAGUUGCUCUCGCAUUCUCUGCUGCAUUGUUGAUAGAUUGCAUUGCCAAUGAUUACUAUUUAGCAGACUUAAAAUUUUCUUGAGGAUCAAAUGAUGGUUUUUAUUGUCCAUGUCAUGUCAUGUAAGCCUAAGCUUACAGGUUAACACUUCUAGCUUUGAGCAAUUGCAAUUUAUAACUUUUAUAUUUUUGUUGGUUGGAUUAAAAGGUUUUUGGGGGGUUGAAUUGAAAUAGUUAAUGUGCUUGUCUAAAUAGCCAAUUGGAGUUUAUUGUGAUGGGCAAAAUUUAUGUUUAAUAUUACAUUGCAAUUGGCCAUCAAUCUUUGAACUGCUCAGGCUCUACAAGGAGUUAUGGAUGCAUGCAUGUUUGAGCACCCUGCAUUCUAUACAUGCCCUUUUUUUUUUAAUUUUGUAGCACUUUCAAUUUCUACUUCCCUCCUUAGAUUAUAGAUUUACUAUCAUUUUCAGUGUUGUGGAGUUAUUCUGAUUCAAUUUACUAUGUUCUGCAGAUUGAUAAUCUGAGUAACUUGUCCGAUAUUGAUGAUCUUGCGAGCACUUUUGCAAAGGUUUGUUUCACAAGCUCCACUGUUUUAAAUUGAGGUUCCAUUAUUAAAAAAAAAUGCUUUUGCAGUAACCCUUGGAAGUAUUAGAUAUGUUAAGGAUACUUAUGCUUUACCAUUGUUGGCUAAGUGGUUACUCUAAUUCUUCCGUAAUCCAUUCUCGUAUCAAGAAAUGUUUUCCCCAGAAAGGUUGCAUCUUCAGGCUGCAUGUCACUAAUCCCCCCACCUUCCACCCCACAAGGCUAAGCUAACUUAAACAUCAAGUGCACAUUUUAUUCAUUUGUAGUUGUAGCUAUCUGCCUAUUUCCACUACAACUAGUCCUGCCUGCUGCCAAGCAUGUACGGGAUAAAUGACACAUGGUUAGUCAAGUCCUUUGGCUGAAUCUAGCUUCUUCUGGCAUUGCAAUAAUCUGUUUUGCAAUCUGCAAGUAUUUUGCCGCAUCUAAGGCCCAAUUGUACAUAGAAGAUCUAGAUACAUCUGUAAUGUCUGAAGUUGUUUUGGAUUGAUUAGCUUGGCUGUUGUUCUUUUUCUAAGGAUAUUUUAUAUCAUAUUGCUUAGUUGAAGCCCAUGCAACCAAUGGAUUAGGAAUUCAGGAUAAUCACUAAUGAGGCCUCAACUUUUAUCUAUACCUGACAAAUUGCUUGCAUAUGGAACCGUAACUUCAUAAUAUUUUGUUCUAGCCUUAAAAACUUAUGUUUUUGUUGUAUGCGUUCGUUCUGCUGUCGCACACUGAUUUAUUUAUAUCUUUUAAUGUCAGUUGAACCGAACCAUUAGUGGAACACGGAAUCCUGGUGUUAUUGGUGACAGACGAUCCAUCUCAAGAGGAAGUAAGUCAAUCUUUGUGUCCCAAUACAAAACUAGUCGUGAUGAGUGUUAUGGAGUUUGUUUUGUGUAUAUCCUUAUAAAAUGUGAUGCCCAAUCUUUGUUUUUAAAAGAUUGUUGACUAAAAAUGUUAACAUAUGCAUAAUCUUUUGUGCAUGUAGUUCCUUUUUUAAAUAUGUUGAAGUCGGCCAUUUUGCGUUUCACUGCUAAUUGCUGGUAUAAUUUUGACUUGCUAUACACAGUUGUGGAUUUGUAUCACUCAUGUCAAUAGACUAUUGUAAAAAAAAAAAGAGAAGAGAAUUGUACAAAACUAUUUUCACCAAGAGAAAUAUGGCAGCUUUUGUAUGCAUCUUUGUUGAAAGCUAUAUAUAAUCUCACUUAUGAAAUGCUUCCAUUCUGCAUUACUGCACAUGUUUCCAAAACUUUAAUGCCAUCAAUAUCGACCAGAAGAAGGCUAUUUUGUGUCUAUUACACCCUUUUGUUGAAAAACAACUAUUCUUUUGGAACUCUGGGAUGUAGCCAAAGUCAAAUUAAUGCCUGAAGGCUCAACUUGUUACUGAACUAUGUAAAUGCCCUUUUCAGGUUCUCUAACUGUUGAUUGGGCUGAAGAUGUAGAAUUUCCUAACUGGGUAGAUCAAGACAUUUUAGAGGAUGAGGAAUUUCAGGAAAGUAAAAGAUGGUGGUCACAGUCACACACUCUGGUGCAGCAAGGGGAUGCCAAACCAUUGAGCCGAACAUCUUCCUAUCCUCAGCAACCACUGCAGCACCGGGCAAGUGAACCUAUCAUUCCACCAAAAUCUCCUUCAUUUACGUCCUUUCCACCGCCAGGUGGUAGAUCACCUUAUACUUCUCAAGGCCUUACACGCCAUGGGAGCAUUCCAUCACUUGGUGCUGGCCUGCAAAUGGGUUCUCCAAGCAUGUCCCUUCCAAGUUCUCCAUAUCAUAUAGCUGGACUAUCUCAUGGACUACCGUAUGGAGGGAGCAUGUCCUUCGGCACUUCAAAUCUGCCUGUAAACAAUCCAAUGCAAAAUGAUUGGCCAAGCCAAGCCAAUCUUUAUGCUGGGGAGCAAUUUAAUCUACUGCCGAACAUGUUACAGAAACAAAUAUCACUUCCAAAUAGCCCGAUGUCAUCACUGUUAUUUUCUCAACAGCAGCAGAGAUUGGCACAAGUUCAAGUCCAACCAUCCCAUCAGAAUUACCUAAAUUUACCACCUCACAUAUUUUACCAACAUCACUCCCCAGAAUUAACAGGAAGAUUUGAUUCUGUUAGCAGUGUUCCUUCAUCAAGAGACAAGAGAUCAAGGUCAGGAAGAGGAAAACACAACAUACGUUUUUCUCAACCAUUGCCUGAUACUGGUAAUCAAAAUGGUGAUAGUGGAGGAAUAAAAUUCAGAUCUAAGUACAUGUCAUCUGAAGAGAUCGAAUCUAUCUUAAGAAUGCAACAUUCAGCAAGUCACAGCAGUGAUCCUUAUGUGGUUGAUUAUUACCACCAAGCUUGCAUCGCGAAAAGGGGUGCCAAUUCUAGGCCAAAGGCCAAUUUUGCCCCAACGUCAAUGAAAGACUUGCCUUCCAAGUCCCGAUCCAGUGGUGACCAUCAUGCAUAUCUUCAGGUUGAUGCUGUAGGAAGAGUUUCCUUCUCUUCCAUACGUAGGCCUCGUUCUCUUCUUGAAGUUGACCUUCCUUCAUCAAGUGAUGGUUCUCAUGAUCAGAAGUCUUCUCUGAGACCAUUGGAGAAAGAACCAAUGCUGGCCGCUAGAGUCACUGUUGAAGAUGCCCUCUGCCUUCUUCUUGAGGUGGAUGAUAUUGACCGUCUGUUGCAGUCUAGUCAGGCACAGGAUAACAGUUUCCAACUGAGGCGAAGACGGCAGGUCCUCCUUGAAGGUUUAGCUGCAUCACUUCAGCUUGUUGACCCUCUCGGGCCGAGCACAUCAAGCCAUUCAUCUGGAUUGGCUGCUAAGGAUGAUCUUGUUUUUCUUCGCAUUGUUUCUCUUCCUAAAGGACGCAAGUUUUUGUCACGUUACCUUCGACUUCUUACCCCUGGAAGUGAGUUGACCCGUAUAGUAUGCAUGGCUAUUUUUCGACAUCUGAGGUACUUGUUCGGGGGUUUACCAUCAGAUUCUAGUGCAGCAGAAACAACAGUUACUCUUGCAAAGACUCUUUCAUCUUGUGUGCGCCAUAUGGAACUAGGUGCUCUUAGUGCUUGCCUUGCUGCUGUGGUCUGUUCACCUGAGCAGCCACCUCUGCGUCCUCUAGCUAGCUCUGCUGGUGAUGGGGCUUCUCUUAUUAUUAAAUCAGUACUGGAUCGAGCAACUGAGUUACUGACUGACCAGCAUGCCGCAGCCAGCUAUACAGUGUCAAACCGGACUCUCUGGCAGGCAUCAUUUGAUGCUUUCUUUGGACUUCUGACAAAAUACUGUCUCAGCAAGUAUGAAAGUAUUAGGCAGAUGUUUACCAUGCAGUCACCAGGCUCUGUAAUUGGAUCUGAGGUCUCCAAAGCAACCAGCAGGGAGAUGCCGGUUGAGUUGCUACGUGCAAGCCUCCCUCAUACAAAUGAUCAGCAACGCCAGCUGCUGCUUGAUUUUGCUCAGCGAACCAUGCCAGUGACUGGUUUUAAUGCCAGCGGUGCAAAUGGUGGGCACAUCACCUCCGAGUCUGUUCCUGGUUGAUUUAGCUCAAGAUGCCAAAAAGUGUAGAUUGUCAAUGCUUAAAGGACUUAAAUGUGCUUGUCUUUGGAUGAUAAUUCUUUUAUAUCUGGAGACAUGCAUAACCCCUUCAUAAGGUAAGGUUGUGUGAGCUUGGAGAAAGUUCCAUUUGCUCAGGAAAAAAUAGCCUUCAGAUUGUGACUUUAGGCUUCAGAUUAAUCUCAUAGACCAACAAUCUCCUUUCUGUGGGUCAUUUAUAUAGCACCCACCUGAUAUGCAUAUGUACAUGCACUGUUGUAACACUAUGCAGGGAUGAACUAGCCGUCUCGUUGGGGCGAAUUUUAGCUUUUAACAUAACAUUCAUAUGCUCCCAGUGAAGAAGACAUCCAAGACUAGUGGGUUUAGCAGCAGUGGUUGUACAGGCUCUGGUACUUUGAGGCCUUCCUGUCUGUCUUUUUACUAGUGUGGAAGGUUCCUAGCGUCAAGUGCGUAGUAGUCUGGUCUUAUCAUGUUUUAAUUAGGAUCAAAAGUGUGUUGGGGAUAAUGAAGUGGUGAUGUUUGUUAGGUUUCUGGAAAGAUAUUUAAAAUGUCAUGGAGAUGGCCAGUGUUUCCAGGUACCUACUGACACUAUAGUGAGGAUACUGGAAACUGGGGCUAUAUUAUCUCUUAUUUAUACAUGGUUACAAUUUGUUGUCAUUUUAUUUCUUGCCUCCAGGUUACUCUUUGCUCAAAAACAUUUUUUUAGGGGGAAACUCUGGUUGCAUCAUAUACUUUUUACCAGGAUUAAGGCUGCCUGCCUUUGUUGUAAGUUUGUGUACAGUAGUUAUUAGUUGCAGCCUUAAACUGGAUCAUUUGAAUGAAGUAGUUGCAGUUAACCUCGUGUGAUGGUUAGAUGUAUCAGUAAUUCUGCAUGAAACCCUGAGCAAAUGUUAGCCUCUUCUGGAUUGGACGAAUUCAUGGAAAUUUUAUGGAAAUUAAGCUGUACAUUAUGCGAUUCUUGCAUUCGGAAGAAGCCAAUAUCAAUGUGUGACAACAGUUCUCGGUUUAUGAAGUUAUGUUAUUUACACGGUAACAUCGUUGAGUCUUAACAAUCCAUACCAGCAAAAAAAAAAAAGUGCCCCCUCCCCCAAUCAAUUUUCUACUAUUCCAUACGUUCCAAAACUCCAAAAUAUAGUUGCUUCUGGCAUCAUUAGUAUACUACAACCAUAUUUUAGCAAUUGAGAUCUCCUGCAGUACUGCAGAUAACCUGCAUCUAAAUUACUUAACUACAACCAUCCAUAAUUUAAUUUCUUCACAUAUUUUUCUCAACUAAUAAAAAUAUCUCUUAUUUAAUUUUCUUACCUACUUUCUUAUCUUAACCGUGAGUCACCUAAUCAUUUAAUUUUACCUUGUCUUUAAUCACCAUGAAAAACUCAAGUUCCUAUAUUUUGGAUAGAGAGAGCAUUUGUUACUUUGACAGGUCCCCCCUACAGCCAAAUGACCACACCAGCUUGCUUUCCUUGCUUUCCUUUUCUUUGUCUAGCGACAGGUUUUCAUCAAAAUAUGUGUAAUCAUUUUCUUUUCUUGUUUUGAUUUUCGAGAAGGCACAAACUAGAUCCACCGAAAUUAAGGCGAUGGAUGAAACGAACAGUUCCAAAUGUUGAGGGAUGAAAAUCAAACAGUUCAACAGUUGAGGGACAAAAAUUGUUUAAGGAUAAUAUGGACUUCUAUUCGAAUUGAGAUGCCCAUGGGAUGGUGGCACAAACUUUUGCUUUCACCAAGUAGUGUACGUAUCUUGUGGGCUGCUGUGCAGAUCGAAGCCUAGCAGUAACAAGGUUGUGCAUGAGGUAUUUGGGCUGAUCCCAUAGAAAACAAGAGCCUUGACUCCAGUCCAAUGUUCCAUUUUGCACCGAGUUGUGCUGGAUUGGCACCGAGACUUAUUAUACUCCGAAACUUAUUUUUCCACCUAACUACCCUUCUCAAAAAUACAAAUUUCUCCUAUUUAAGUUUUAAUAUUUUCUUAAUACCCAUAUCUAAGUCCGAAACUUCAAAUAUACUGAGACGAGAACAGUAGUUGUUUGAUCGUUUUCACGUUUACAAAUCAUGAUUUUUCCUAAGGAGCGGAUGGGGACGAUUCUGGCCGGAGUCUGAAAACCCGAUGAAACAGCACAGUACGGUGCGAGGCUCUGAGCGAGGAGGUGAGCUUCUUAGCGGAUGCAAAAGAUUAUUUUGCAGUACUGCUAAUACAGUAAAAAUGGUUGACAUAUAGGUCCAAACUCAUAUGUUAAUAUUUGCUACUGCAUCGGCAGUACUAUAAACAAUCCCCACUAAUUUUUGUUACCUUGCGCUGUUGCACACGCCACCCCUCCUCCUCUCCAUUAAAUACUUCAGAUACACGCAACACACACAGGAAGGCACACCGGAUAUCCUUCCUCCAAUGAUCCUUAUCCUGUUGUCCUUCCUUUGAGGUGGAGCACAGCAACAGCAUUAUUGAUCCCGUAAUUGAUUACGUCCUGGAUUCUGUAUGCUCAUCAUCCUACUACUGAGCAGGUAUAAUAGCACACUAUAAGCCAGCUAUAAAUAUAUUUUAAAUAGAUAAAAGAAUAGAGAAGAACAGCGGGCUAAAGAUAUAUAGCCAGCUACAGCACGAACUUCAAGAUGUAAUAUGUGUAUGACAGGUGGGACCAGAUAUUAAUAGUAUAGUAAGCAACUACUUGUAUGAAUUAACUAUUACAUUGACUAUAGAUGAUUUGGAGCUAGUAGUUGGCGAAAUUCCUGACGAGCGUUCAGUCGCUGCCAGCGAUCGUUUUUUUCUUUUUUUUUUCUUUUCUUCUUUUAGUAAGUUUAUACCCCUAAAGUUUACACAUCUAAAGUUUAUCUACCUAAAGUUUGUAAAACGAAUGUUAUAAGUCAAAAGUUUAUAUACCCGAUUUAAAUUCAAAUUCGAAUUCAAAUAUUUUAUAUUUUUCCUCUUUUAGUAAGUUUAUACACCUAAAGUUUAUACAUCUAAAGUUUAUCCACCUAAAGUUUGUAGAGUGAAUGUUUAGGGGCUAUUUAGUUCACGAACGAAAAUGUUUGGCGUGUCACAUUGGAUAUACGGACACACAUUUUAAGUAUUAAACGUAGACUAAUAACAAAACAAAUUACAGAUUCCGCCUGGAAACUGCGAGACAAAUUUAUUAACCUUAAUUAAUCCGUCAUUAGCAAAUGUUUACGAUAGCACUACAUUGUCAAAUCAUGGCGCAAUUAGGCUUAAAAGAUUCGCCUCGUAAUUUACACGUAAUCUGUGUAAUUAGUUUUUUUUAUCUAUAUUUAAUAUUCCAUGCAUGUGUCUAAGGUGGUGUUUGAAUCUCCUGAAGAUGAAGAUAAAUAUUAAAUGUUUCACGCAAAACGAGGUGGUAAUAACAUGUGACUAAUUUGGUUUUAAUUAUUACAAACUUGAAAAAUGGAUUAAUUUGAUAUUUUAGAACAACUUUCAUAUAAAAAAUUUUUACACGAAACGUAUCGUUUAGCACUUUGAAAAGCGUGCCACGACGGCGCCGGCUAUCCGCCAUCGUCCGCGAGGCCCGCGCCGCCCGCCGCCCCCUGCUGCUGCGGCGGCUCGCCGUGGCGCACCGGCUCGGGGCGGUCCCCGCGGGGGAGGCGAGCGUGUUCGUGGCGGCGUCCGCGGUGCACCGCGCCGACGCGAUGGAGGCGUGCCGCUACGUCAUCGACGAGUCAAGGCGUCCGUGCCCAUCUGGAAGAAGGAGGUGUACGACGACGGUGAGGUCUGGAAGGAGAACCGCGAGCUCCUCAACCGCACCACCACCGACGGCGCUGCCGCGGCGCCGGCGAGGGGCGCGCUUGCUGCGGCAGCAAGGUGAGAGUCAACGAGAGCUGAUGCCCAACCUCCCCCAAAAUACUGUAGAUUGUCAAUGCUUAAAUGUGCUUGUCUGCGGAUGGUAAUUCUUUUAUAUCUUGGAGACAUGCAUAACCCCUUCAAUAGAGCAAGUUUAAUAGCCCACUACUAGUUUCAAUUCAUCUAUAGCCGAUCUAAUAGCCAAUUCAUACAAUAGUUGCUUACUAUACUAUUAAUAUAUGGUCCCACCUGUCAUACACACAUUGUGUUUUAAAGUCCAUGCUGCAGGUGGCUAUAGAUCUGUAGUCCGCUACUCUUCUCUCUUAUUUUUUAUCUCAUUAAAAUAUGUUUAUAGCUGGCUAAUAGUCGGUUAUUAUACCGCUCUAAGGUUGUCGUGAGCUUGGAGAAAGUUCCAUUUGCUCAGGAAAAAUUAGCCUUCUUCAGAAUGUGACUUUAGGCUUCAGAUUAAUCUCAUAGACCAACAAUCUCCUUUCGGUGGGUCAUUUAUAUAGCACCCACCUGAUAUGCAUAUGUACAUGCACUGUUGUAACACUAUGUUGGGGCGAAUUUUAGCUUUUAACAUAACAUUCAUAUGCUCCCGGUGAAGAAGACAUCCAAGACUAGUGGGUUUAGCAGCAGUGGUUGUACAGGUUCUGGUACUUUGAGGUUACUAUAAAUGUUGGCUUAUUCUUUGCUCAAAAACAAUUUUUUAGGGGGGAACUCUGGUUGCAUCAUAUACUUUUUACCAGGAUAAAGGCUGCCUGCCUUUGUUGUAAGUUUGUGUACAGUAGUUAUUAGUUGCAGCCUUAAACUGGAUCAUUUGAAUGAAGUAGUUGCAGUUAACCUCGAGUGAUCAUUUGAAUGGAGGAAUUCGUGGGAUUUUUAUGGAAAUUAAGCUAUAUCAUGUGAUUCUUGCAUUCGAAAGAAGCCAAUAUCAAUUUUCAUGGCAGCAUUUUGAAUUUUGAGUCUUAACAGUCUAUAACAGCGAUCCCAUUUGCAAUGCAAAUGACUACUCCUAUUUGAUUUUCAGUAGGAUGAAAGUGGGCCCCGUCAAUUCUCUACUAGAUCCAUUCCAAAAUAUAGUUGCAUGGCAUGUUGAAAACCAAUCGUCUGGACAAGCAAAACGGUGUGGUUUAUUAGUGGCAAGCAAAAUGAAGUACUCAUUAGCACGUGAUUAAUUAAAUAUUAGCUCGAAAAUUUUAAAAAUAUCUACUAAUACACUUUUUAAAGAAACUUUUAUUUAAAAAACAUCGUUUAAUAGAUCAAGAGAUGUACACAUGAAAAAUGAGAUAGUGAAAGUUGAGAAAAAGAUAUAGAAUGGAACCUUACUUCACCUACAACCAUCCGUAAUUUAAUUUCUCCAUCUAUUCCUCAACUAAUUAUAACAUCUCUUAUUUAAUUUUCUUACCUACUAUUUUAUCUUAAUUGAUUAGUCACCUAAUCAUUUAAUUUUACCUUAUCUUUAAUCUCCAUGAAAGACUCAAGUUUUUAUCUUUUUUAAUGGAGUCAAGGAGAGAGUAUUUGUUACUUUGACCGGUUCUCCUACAGCCAAAUGACCACACCAGCUUACUUUCCUUUUCUUUGUUUAGCGAAAGAUUUGCAUCGAAAUAUGUGUAAUCCUUUUCUUAUUUUGAUUUUCCAGAAGGCCCAAAUACUAGAUCCACCAAAUUUAAGACGAUGGAUAAAAAAUAAACGAUUUUAAAAGUUAGGGGAUACCAAUCAAACAGUUCUACAGUUGAGGGACGGAAUGGUUUUGAGACCAUAAGAGCAUCCUCACCAAAUACUCCAUCCCAUCAUCCUGAAAAUGGCAUAUUGGAAAUGAAAGUCAGUCUCCAACAGAUACUCCAUCCGGGCAACCAAAAAUAGCUUGGGUGUUAUCCGAGCAGAAACCUCACGCCAUACCCCAAGUGUCGAGCUCCCAAUCAAACUCACGCCACCAUCCGGACUGCAUACCAUGAGGGGAGUAACAGUAGAGAGGAGCUGCAUACCGGAUUUGGUGGUGGAAAUUUGCCAGAGUGAAGACAGAGAAGCGCUGGAUCUGGUAGAGAGAUCGCUGGAGCACCCCGCCGCUCGUGCCAUGCCACUGCCUGCGCUAUCCGAAGCUUCUCUGCCCACAACUCCUGUCGUCCCCGCUACCCACACUCGCAUCGCCAUCCCAGCCGCUCGCAUCUCUCCGCUUGUGCCACCCAUCAUCCACUUGCACCUUUGGCCGUGUUGUCCGCUGUCUGCCAUUAGCCCUCCUCCUUCGUCCUUCCACUCAUCCUUCCCCUCUUCUGUCACUCUCCUGGCUAUUGGCAGGUACAGAGGAGAGAGGGAGAGAAAUAUGCUUGGAUAGAGUUAGUAUUAGGGUGAGUUCGCUGGUUCUGGUUCCCAUCAGCACAGUAAGCACGGAAAACGGAGCGAUCCAUUAGUGCAUGAUUAAUCAAGUAUUAGCUAGAUUUUUUUUAAAAUGGAUUAAUUUGAUUUUUUUCAAGCAACUUUCGUAUAGAAACUUUUUACAAAAAAACACACCGUUUAGCAGUUCGAAAAGAGUGUGAGCGGAAAACGAGAGGAGAGGAGUUGGGAAAAGGGAUAUCCGAACACACCCUUAGUUGUCUUAGAAUACAAUAAAUUUGGAUUUUUCAGCUAGGUUUACAAAUAUGGUUAUAAAAAAUAAUACAAAUAUAUGGAUGGUCAGAAGAUAUUAACAACAUAUAGAAAAUUGUGAUAUGAAGGUAUAUGGAUGAUCUGUUGGAGUGAAGAGGAAUAUGCAGAGAGAAUCGUUUUCUAUAAUAAUCCAUAUAGGGAUAUGAAGAUUUAAAUUUGGAUGAGCUGCUGGAUGCUGUAAGAGAGACAACAUAGACUCCUUUCGAAUUGAGUUGCCCAUGGGAUGGUGGCACAAACUUUGCUUUCACCCUGUAGUGUAUCUCGUGGGCUGCAGUGUAGAUCGAAGCCAGAUCCACCGAAAACAAAGCCCAGCAGUAACAAGGCUGUGCAUCAAGUUUUUGGGCUGAUACCAUAGGAAACAAGAGCCUUCUACACUGAAUUUUUUUCAUUUUUAAAUUUUUAUUUUUUAAUAUUUACAAAAAUAUUAUACCGACGAAAAUAUUUAUAUAGACCCGGCCGCCCAAGUAGAGGGCAUCAAGGUGACGUGGCACAUGGCGCCGUGUGCAUAUUUUGCGUUGAGGUCCCUUGCCGGCAAGGGGGUAAAUGUAAUUUUCGCCGCAUGCAAAAUUCGCAUGUCCGCUCAGUGGCCUCUAGCAUCUGGUCACACAAGUCACCCUGCCCGAGGGCGACAGUGUCUAUUUUUUAAAUAUUUUUGCCGGUAUAAUAUUUCUAUAAAUAUUAAAAAUAUAAAUUUAAAAAUGAAAAAAAUUCCCUACACCGGGUCCAGUCCAGUCGUGAGGACAAAAGAUUUGGGCUAUUUGAAAAAAAACAUAGAAAUAGGAAUAACUUCUAUUCCGGGGAGGGCGGCAGAGUCUAUUUUUUAAAUAUUUUUGCCGGUAUAAUAUUUCUAUAUGUAUUAAAAAAUAUAAAUUUAAAAAUGAAAAAAUUCCCUACACUGGGUCCAGUCCAAUUGUGCAGACAAAAGAUUUGGACUCUGUGAAAAAAAAAACAGAUAAAUAGGAAUAACUUCUACUCCCUCCAAAAUAGACCCAGAAAAUAUCCCAUUAUAUUUUAGAACAAAAAUAGAACUAGUUUGGAAAAUGUGUUCACAGAGAACGAUGAAAUAGCUGUUGUGAAAAGCUAUAUAGAAUGCACCCUUACUACUUCUAGAGUUCUUAAUUUAUACCGAAAAUAUUAUGACAUAUAGCAUUCAAAAUUUAUUUUAAAAUAUAAUAACUUGUUCACCUAUAUUCUAUUCUCAACCAAUCAUAACCUUCGACCAUUUAAAUUCUUCACCUAUACUACUCUUUCGAAAACAUAAUCUUUUUUUAUGUUUAAUUUCACUUACUUUUUUAACACUACGAUCUAAUUCUUAAAACUUCUUACUCCUUGUAUAUUUUAGGAGGGAGGUAUUUGUUUGAUCAUUUUUACGUUUUACAAAUCAUAUUUUUCAUAAGCAGCGGGUGGGAAGGAUUUCGGCUAAGGGUGAAAAUGGUAUAAAAAUUUUCCGACCGUACCGAUACCGUUUCCGUAAAAUUAAUAGUGAUAAUAUAUUUACCGACGGUUCUUGUUGUCAAAAUUUAGUUUUUUUCAAUUUAUGUCAACGUGAUACCGAAGUUGAUACUAUAUAGUUCAAUUCAUAAAUAUGAAAAUUUUCCAACCAUUUCCACCUGCUUUUUUUUAAAAAAAACAAAAAAAACAAAAUAAAGGUAUCGUUUCCGACCGUUUUCAUCCGUACCGGCUAUUCGGUAAUUCCGGCCGGAGGGGCUCUGAAAACCGAUGAAACAGCACGUACGGUGCGAGGCCCUGACUUCUGAGCAAGGCUUUUGUAGCCUUGCGCUGUUGCACACGCCACCCCUCCUCCCCUCCAUUAAAUAAUGCACACACACACGCACGCGCACACAGGAUGACAGGAAGGCACACCGAUAUAUAACUCCUCCCUCCUAGUAUGAUCCUUAUCCUGUUGUCCUUCGUUUGGGGUGGAGCACAGCAACACAGCAUGAUUGAUCCCGUGAUUGAUUAGGCCCCGGAUUCUGUAUGCCCAUCAUCCCACUGCACAGCUUAAUGAUAGACUUAAUUAACAGAUUGUAUAAUUAGUUCCUUGCUGGAGAGGAGGCCAUAUAUUGGCUGGCACUCUCAAGACGGUAGGGGAAAAAGAAUAAAAUUCCUAAAUACUAACUCCAUAUUUUAACGUAUGAUAUCGUUGACUUUUCGUUUAACGUUUGACCAUUCGUCUUAUUUUAAAAAAAAUUAUGUAAUUGUUAUUUAUUUUAUUGUGACUUGAUUUAUUAUUAAAUGUUCUUUAGCAUGACAUAUAUUUUUAUAUUUGCACAAAAAAUUUGAAUAAAAUGAAUGGUCAAAAAAGUCAAUGGCAUCAUACAUUAAAAUACGGAGGGAAUAACAUUUAUGGCCUUAGGCACAUAUCGUGAUUAGUGAUAAAAUAAUAGUGUAUAGAUAAAACUUUUACAUAUAUGUUUUUAACGAUUUAAAAGAUAAUUAAAAAAACUUUGUUAAAAUCGUCAAAAUCAAAUUUAUAAAAUUUAAAAUUUAACGGUGGUUUAUAAGCUUUUGGUAAAGGAUGAGACCCUAUGUAGUAAAGUCAACCUUUUGGUAUAGGAGUAAAAACAGCUAGUCCGCUUAAGCCGAGAUUCGCGGGAAGGAUAGGCGAGAGCAAAUACAGUAUUACACCAAGUUAGUAUAUGAUGAAUUCGCUAAAAAUUACGAGGUUAGGAUACGUGAGGUUAUCAAUAUCAUGCACAUGCAGUAUCUAUACCCCGGUUCGACUGAAAAAAAAAUUGGGAUAUAACACAUGAAUGUCAAGAUGUGAGGAAAAAUAUGAGGUGAAAAUCACAUAUGCAGUGGACAAUGGACUUUCGAUAGAACAUAUGAAUGUCAAGAUGUGAGGGUAAAUAUGAGGUGAAAAUCACAUAUGUAGUGGACAAUGGACUUUCAAGAUUCAUCCACGUCAUUACAAGUAGAAAUUUUACUCACGGAUUUACUCAUGAGUAAAAAUUGUACUAUUUUUACUCAUGAUGAUAUAGAUGAAUCUCGAAUAUCUAUUUUUCGAUCUAACGUUAGUUUUCAAGUUUCACAAUAUUUAUUUCCACCACAUAUUUUCCUAACAUGUGACCGUGAUCUCACUUCUAUCUGGCACACAACUUAUUCAACCAUACUUUGCCACGGAGACGUGGCCGUACGAUGGUGCCACGUACGACGGCACAAGCAUUUCACUUCUCUACUAUUAUAAAAAUUGUACAACAGCACCAGCAUUUCUCUUCUCUACUAUUAUAAAAAUUGAAGAUAUUUUUUCCGGUACCUUGGUACGUUAUCUGUGUAUGAGUCGGUUUUAAGUUUGUUCACUUUUGGAAAUAUAUAUUUGUAUUUCAGUUGGUUUUUAAAUUCGUUCAUUUUGGGAAAUACAUGAAGAGUCGUAUAAGAAAUCUCUUUAAAAAAAGACUUACAUGCUAAUUUGAGAUGAUCAGACUCCUAAUUACAACUCAUGAUUUUUCUAGAAAAAUAUAUAUCCAAGUGAAUUCUCACAGUGAAACUAUUAUAAAAAUUGAAGAUGUUUUUACCGGUACUUUGGUACAUCAUCUAUGUAUGAGUCAGUUUUUAAGUUUGUUCGCUUUAGGAAAUAAAUAUCUAUUUUUAAGUCAGGUUUUGAGUUUGUUCGCUUUUGGAAAUACAGGAGCAGUCGUAUAAUAAAUCUCUUUAGAAAAACUUACAUGCUAACUUAAGAUGAUCGGACUCUUAAUUGCAGUUCAUGAUUUUCUAAAAAAAUAUAUCCAAGCGAAUUCUCACGGUGAAUUUCACCUUAACUAAACCGUAUAACAAUAAUGAAAUUAAAAUAGCCUUCCCCUGUUACAACGAACGGAUAAUUUUUCUAGUGAAUAAAAUAUUCCUUUAUAGAUUAACUACUUAAUUAUAUGAUAAAGUAAUAAAUUAAUAAAUAAACGUAACAAAUACUCAUUUUGUCCCGAAAUAUGGUUGCUUUCUGAUGUUAAUUUGGUUUUAAACUAUAGCUACUUCUUCGCCUCCUCUAUCACACUAUUAAAAAAGUAUUUAUGCAUGUGGUCAAAAUCUAUUUUUCCAUUCAGUUGGACUCUCAAUAUGCCUGAAGGCGUCUGUAAAAGUCACUAUUUUUCCAUGCGGGUGGAGCACAUGCACGCGAAAAUCCGUUUUUCGCGGGUGGGUGCUUAUGUCACCCGCUUGCGAAAAGAAAAAUCACGAAAAAAAAUCCCAAAAAUUGAAACCCGAAAGCCUAGCUAGCUCUUAGUCUGUCGUUGCUCGUUGUCACCACUGCCGUUGCCGAGGCCCCGUAGCUCGAGAUCCAUCGUCGUGGUCGUCCACCACCUUGCCGUCCCCACUCCUUUGCAGACAGGAGCGCUUAUGACCCACCUACAGUUUAAGUUUAAAAUGGGUUUCGUCCAGAAAAAUCAGUUCUCUCAACCUUUUGCUUUUGUAUGUUUUGUGUACAGUUGAUUAUAAGUUGUAAUGCUUGCUAGCAACCAAAUUUAAUUUGUGGGUGAAACUUUUAUUUAUGUAUAUGUGUGUAUUAUUAGUAACUUAAAAUUAAUACUGAAAUAACAUGCAAUCAGCAAACUUCAAAAUUGUUGACGGGCUAUACCCGUAGACGGGAUUUAUAAGUAUGGGGAUUGUUGUAACCAGGGUAUACGCGAGACUGUAUCAAGCAGACAAGAACGCAAAGAUUUAUACUAGUUUGAGCCCUCAAGAAGAUUAAUAAUCCUAGUCUAGUUUAUAUUGAUUUAUAGAUAAAAAUAGCACAAAGAUUACAAUGGGGUGUAAGACGAAUAAACAAACCGUCAACUAGAAGCUGUCGACAUUGGCCCGACGAGAUCUAUUCGGCAAAUACGACUAUGGCUUCUCCCGGAUUGCUUCUCAAUGUGGCUCUGGCUACCGCUUGUAACUCGAUCCCCUUCUCGGAAUUAGGGGACCUUGUAUUCACUAUUUAUAGUGUAGAUCUAUCUUUUUCUCCAAGUAUAACUCGAAGAGAUAAAAUAGGAUACGGGUUGGAGGAGACCUUAUCUUUUUCGAAUAAGAUUCUGAAACAUUCUAUUCCAGGAAAAUAAUUUCCUUUCUAUUUGUAGUAUUUCCUUAAUGAAAGGAUGUGUUCGCGUAAACAAUUGGUUAUAUGGUGUUGUCAUAUUCCAUGAGUCCGUGUAUAGGAGAUAUCUAUUAUCCUUACACUAACAAAAAUCAACUCUAAACUUAAGCUUUAAAAAUAAAUUUUAACUACAAAUAAAUAAAGAGCAAACAAUAGAGUGCAACAUCUCAACUAGUUACAAAUAUCUCUUAUUUAAUUUCUCUACCUACCUCUCAUCUGGACUAGUCGUAACUAAUUUUACCCCUCUCUCUUGGAGAGAAAGCUCUUGAAGUGGUUAUAUUUAGAGAUGAAAGGAGUAGGUUAAAAUAAUUAGUGUAAGCAAAAUACGGUAAAAUAAAUUUUCUAUUACUCACUCCGUUCCUAAAUAUAAGGGAUUUUGGUUAGAUAUGAUGUAUUUUAGUACAAUAAAUUUAGACAUGAAGCCUGUCCAGAUUCGUUAUACUAGGAUAUAUUACAUCCAACUAAAAUCUCUUAUAUUUAGAGACGAAGGGAGUUGAAAUGUAAAGGAGGAGUAUAAGACAGGCCAAGACUACACAGUACAGAGUUAGCCAAGAUUGACAUGUGGCUAUGUUAGUUACCUAUGGUUGAGAAUAAAUCGGUCUAACAGAACUGACUUAUUAGCAUAUAAUUAAUUAAGUAUUAAAUAAAAAAUUAAAAAAUAAAUUAAUAUAUUUUUACAGUAACAGUUCUAUAAAAAUUUAAUAAAAAUAUAUUAUUUAGUAGUUCGAAAAACAUACAGGUGAAAAUAAGAGAGUUAUCUUCACUUAAAAGAACAUUUAGUCAAGAACACAACAGUUGGGUGAGCAAGAAAGAAAGAGAGAGAAAGUUCGAGGAGGCCGGUUGAGAAAUGAAUUUAUUUGAAUUUUUUAAAUAACUUAUAUAUAGAAAUUUUUUUAUAAAAUACACAUCAUUUAGUAUUUUAGGGCCUGUUUAGAUUCCAUGGCAAUUUUUUUUAUCCUGUUAAAUCGAAUAUUUUAACUAAACAGGCCCUUAAGCAAACAUCAGUUGAGUGAGCAAGCCGCAGGGGAUCUAUAGGGGCCAGUUGAGAGUUGAGAGAGAGUGAGUACGUCACGUCACAUCAUCAAAGCGGAGGGACAUUACCAAUACCAGCACCGGACGGGUCCACUCCAACUCCAUCCAUUCAUCCAUCGCCGUAUCGUCCGUCCUCAGAGGCCCAGACCAGGCAGUUUCAGUUUCCCUGGUUUCAUGCUCUUACCUUUUGUUGUCUCGCCUUUUACAGUUUUACUACUACUGUGGCCCUGUUCCCACACAAAAAAUUUUCAUCCUGUUACAUCAAAUAUUUAUACACAUACAUAAAGUAUUAAAUAUAGAAAAAAUAACUAAUUACAUAGAUUACGUGUAAAUUACGAGACGAAUCUUUUAAACCUAAUUGCGCCAUGAUUUGACAAUGUGGUGCUACAGUAAACAUUUGCUAAUGACGAAUUAAUUAGGCUUAAUAAAUUCAUCUCGCGGUUUAGUACGUAAUUUGUUUACAGGUGGAAUAUGUAAUUUGUUUUGUUAUUAGACUACGUUUAGUACUUUAAAUGUGUAUCCGUAUAUCCGAUGUGACGCAUUAAAACUUUUCACCCAGCUAUACAUGACUAACCAUGCCACUUGGAGGGUAUCGUGUAACCAAAAUUUAUUCAUCCCUAUUUCCAACAAUAAUUUACUUACUCAUACCUAAAUCAAAUGAGUAUUAUCCUAACCCAACGAAUAAAAGAAAAAACAUACUCCUAUAUGGGUUCCACUCGUAGAAAUGGACUACUAAAAUUUAUAUAAAGUUGCUCUUUCUACAUAAUAAAUCAUUCCUCUGAAUUUUAGUCAAAUUAGAUAAUAUUUUAUAAUGUGAACGCAAGUCUAAAAGUUUUCGGCCCAUAGUGUGGGUAUGGGGAUGGGGAAAUGAAACCCAUUGAUAAGUGUAUUCAUAGUAUUUUGUGUUUAGACUUGGAGUUAAAUUUUUGUAAGAAGUGUUGGUAUAUAGGUUUAGUUGAAGCAAAUGCCUGUUUAUAUGUUAAUUAUCUAAAAUAUUGUUAGUAUCUAUGUAGUAAUAAUAUAUUAUCAGUUUCCUAAUUAUGACUACCGUGAUAGAUGUACAUGAGUAUGUGUUUGAGUUUCUGUAUCAGUUUCCUAAAUUUUGUAGGCUGAUGAGUGAUGACAGUGUUUUGCGUGGUCGACUUGCUAGUGGCUAUUGCAUUUGUUGUGCCCCUUUGUAAACGGCUACAUUCUUUCUUAAUAAAUUUUGACAGGCAAAUAAUUCAUUAUCUAAAAGGAAAAUAUUAUCAUUUGUUUGCAUUCAUAUGAUGUAUCAUAUAUGAAAAACCUUUAAAUUU